RNAcentral lists this ribosomal RNA (730 nucleotides) under Clostridioides difficile. Its description in RNAcentral is "bacterial SSU rRNA". It matches the Rfam family "Bacterial small subunit ribosomal RNA", at positions 88 to 841 of the family's 1533-position model. Lineage: Bacteria; Bacillati; Bacillota; Clostridia; Peptostreptococcales; Peptostreptococcaceae. The record is from RNAcentral.
GUAAAGAGCGGCGGACGGGUGAGUAACGCGUGGGUAACCUACCCUGUACACACGGAUAACAUACCGAAAGGUAUGCUAAUACGGGAUAAUAUAUUUGAGAGGCAUCUCUUGAAUAUCAAAGGUGAGCCAGUACAGGAUGGACCCGCGUCUGAUUAGCUAGUUGGUAAGGUAACGGCUUACCAAGGCGACGAUCAGUAGCCGACCUGAGAGGGUGAUCGGCCACAUUGGAACUGAGACACGGUCCAAACUCCUACGGGAGGCAGCAGUGGGGAAUAUUGCACAAUGGGCGAAAGCCUGAUGCAGCAACGCCGCGUGAGUGAUGAAGGCCUUCGGGUCGUAAAACUCUGUCCUCAAGGAAGAUAAUGACGGUACUUGAGGAGGAAGCCCCGGCUAACUACGUGCCAGCAGCCGCGGUAAUACGUAGGGGGCUAGCGUUAUCCGGAUUUACUGGGCGUAAAGGGUGCGUAGGCGGUCUUUCAAGUCAGGAGUGAAAGGCUACGGCUCAACCGUAGUAAGCUCUUGAAACUGGGAGACUUGAGUGCAGGAGAGGAGAGUGGAAUUCCUAGUGUAGCGGUGAAAUGCGUAGAUAUUAGGAGGAACACCAGUUGCGAAGGCGGCUCUCUGGACUGUAACUGACGCUGAGGCACGAAAGCGUGGGGAGCAAACAGGAUUAGAUACCCUGGUAGUCCACGCUGUAAACGAUGAGUACUAGGUGUCGGGGGUUACCCCC